Molecule: transfer RNA, 83 nt
Filed under: Actinoplanes utahensis
Lineage: Bacteria; Bacillati; Actinomycetota; Actinomycetes; Micromonosporales; Micromonosporaceae
Rfam family: tRNA
About the family: Transfer RNA (tRNA) molecules are approximately 80 nucleotides in length. Their secondary structure includes four short double-helical elements and three loops (D, anti-codon, and T loops).
Source: Rfam by way of RNAcentral
GCGGGCGCGCCGAAGUUGGAGAGUCGGGGCCGGCUGUAAACCGGUUGCCCAGUGCUGAGCAGGUUCAAAUCCUGCCGCCCGCA